CUUUACUGUAGCCUGGAAUUGGGUUCGGGCUUCGCUUGCGCAGGAUAGGUGGGAGACUAUGAAGCUGCCCUUGUGGGGGCAGUGGAGUCAUCAGUGAGAUACCACUCUGUCAAGGCUAGAAUUCUAACCGUCUGGCGUUAUCCGGCGACGGAACAGUAUCAGGUGGGCAGUUUGACUGGGGCGGUCGCCUCCUAAAUGGUAGCGGAGGCGCGCAAAGGUUCCCUCAGGCUGGUUGGAAAUCAGCCGAAGAGUGUAAAGGCAGAAGGGAGCUUGACUGCAAGAGCAACAACUCAAGCAGGGACGAAAGUCGGCCUUAGUGAUCCGACGGCGCUGAGUGGAAGGGCCGUCGCUCAACGGAUAAAAGUUA
Molecule: ribosomal RNA, 367 nt
Filed under: uncultured organism
Description: bacterial LSU rRNA
Rfam family: Bacterial large subunit ribosomal RNA
Source: RNAcentral